UACGGAGGGUGCAAGCGUUAUCCGGAAUCACUGGGUUUAAAGGGUGCGUAGGCGGUUUUAUAAGUCAGGGGUGAAAGCAUGCAGCUUAACUGUAUAAUUGCCUUUGAUACUGUAAGACUUGAAUAAGGUUGAGGUUGGCGGAAUGUGACAUGUAGCGGUGAAAUGCUUAGAUAUGUCAUAGAACACCGAUUGCGAAGGCAGCUGACUGGGCCUUUAUUGACGCUGAGGCACGAAAGCGUGGGGAGCGAAC
This 250-nucleotide ribosomal RNA is filed under the name uncultured bacterium. RNAcentral's name for it is "partial 16S ribosomal RNA". It matches the Rfam family "Bacterial small subunit ribosomal RNA", at positions 524 to 773 of the family's 1533-position model. The record is from RNAcentral.